AGCUAGAGGCCAUAAUUCUAAGUGAAUUAACACAGGAACAGAAAACUAAACACUGCAUGUUUUCACUUAGAAGUUGAAGCUAAAUAUUGAGCACAUAUGGAUAUAAACGUGGAAAGAAUAGACACUGUGGACUACUAGAGUGGGGAGGAAAGGAGGGGGUAUGGAUUGAAAAACUACCUGUUGGGUACUUUGCUCACUGCCUGGGCACAAUAUACCCACAUAGCAAGCCUGCUGUAUGUACCACCAUAUCUAAAAUAAAAGUUGAAAUUAAAAAAAAAUAAAGUAUGUAUCUGUUUUAAAGAAAGUGGCACUGUAAGCUGGUGUUCUUUGUAGGUUUUUGUCAACUUAAGGGUCAGUGUAUAAAACAGCUGAAUUUAUCAUCUCCCCAUCCCCUCUCAUCCUCUUCCAGAGUUUCCAUCCCUGUGAAGGACACCAGGUCCACUGAUUGCUGAAGCCAGAAAAGUGCCCUGUUUUUAUAGAAAACAAGAAGAGCUUGCUGAAAUCCUUCUCAGAGGCAAGUUCUCCAAGACUGUGGGGAGAAUUACAAGAGAAAACACCUGUGUAGGACCAACAUAGGACCCUGCACAUACGAAGUGCUCAGUAAGUAAUGUGUCAUUUAGUACAAAGCAUUUGUUAUUUGGAAGUUUAUUUUUGUUGUUCUAAGGUGUAAGUCAUCAUAUCUCCGGCUAGGCAGUAUGCCAUACAUGAAAGUUUGGGAGAGUGGGGUUCAUUUAAAAAAAAAAUUCAGUGUUUUUAGUGUAGUCACCGAUAUGUGCAACCAUCACCACAGUCAAUUUUAGAACAUUCUGAUGACCCCCAAAAGGAAUCUCAUACCCAAUAACUCUGAUUUCCCUUUUUCCCUGUCCACCUAGCUGGCCCUAAGCAACCACUAAUCUACUUUCUGUCUCUAUAGAUGUGCCUAUUCUGGACGUUUCACACAAAUUAAAUUGUACUAUGUUUAGUCUUUUGUGACUGGCUUCUUUCAUGUAGCUUAAAGUUUUCAAGGUUUAUCCAUGUUGUAGCAAGUACCAGUACUUCAUUUCUUUGCGUGGCAGGGUAUGGAUAGACCACACUUUGUUUAUCCAUGUAUUAAUUGAUGGACAUUUGAGUUGUUUCUACCUUUUGGCUAUAGGGAAUAAUGCUG
Molecule: non-coding RNA, 1144 nt
Organism: Macaca mulatta (Rhesus monkey)
Lineage: Eukaryota; Metazoa; Chordata; Mammalia; Primates; Cercopithecidae
Source: RefSeq, a predicted model, not a curated record